AUUCAAAGAUCAUCUCUGAUCUAUGAGACUAGCAGCUGGUUCCCACAUUCCUUAUUUGCAUUUUUUUGUUGGUUAAUUUACUCCAAUGUUCAUCUUUGAACCAUGGGACUUCUUGUUUUUUUAAUUUUUUAAAAGGAUAUAAUUUCAUAUUUGAACAUCUCUCUGAUUGCAUUGAACUUCAUUCUUCUAUAUUUGGACAUACUUUUAAAAGGAUAUAUAUUUUUUUCAUUCUAUGCAUGUUCAACUCAAUAUUUGAACAUAUUCUAUGCAUGUUCUUAGUUUGGUUUGGUUGAAACUAAGAUUUUUCUUUUCCUUCUCUAUAUGUCUAUGCGCACACAUAAUCAUGGCCAUUGUCCUUAAGUUCAAGAAUAUCUAUGUUCUUUAGUAUUUCCUUUGAAACUAUUACUGUCCUGUGUCCUCUUUUCUUUCUUUAGACAGAGGGCAAAGUACAGGAAAAAGCAACAAGCAGCAGAGAUGAAAGAAAGGCAAUUAUCGCAAAGGGAUUUGGAAUAGUAGUAUUUCCUGGUUUCCUCUAUCUUGUCCUCUCCCUUUGUGUGACCUCCUUGAAAUUUAAAGGCUACACUAUAAAAUUUGUAACAACUUUUGAUGGGAACAGAUUUGAUCUGAUCUAUGCAUCAAUCACUGAGCUGAUCAAAAGCAAUCAGCUUCAGAGCUGAUCUUUUAUAUGCUGUCUACAGAAUAACAGCAGAAGAAACUGACCCAGAUCUUGAUUCAGAUCUCAAACAGCAGUAGAUCCAUCAAUGCAGCAGUAGGAGAAAGUAGAGAAGAAUAAGAAGAAAAGUGGAGGAGAGAAGAGAAAGGAGAGAGGAUGGCCUGCGGCUUUUAAUUUCUUUCAAAAUAGUCACAUAGAAUCUCAAAAUCACCACUACAGCCCCCCACUUCUUGCUUUUAAUAAACCUAACGAACUAUCAGUCCUAAAACAAUUGGUAGUCUUAAAUUGGAAAUAAACCUAAACUAAAUAGCCAACUAAACCACUUAAACUAAAUGGCAAACUAAACCAUUGAUUUUAGUUGGCUAGCUGGUUCACCAUUAGGCUCAUUUUGUCUCUCUAAACUAGACAUAUAACUCAAAUAAGAAAACAACUAAACUACUUGAACAGUACUUCUGAACAGUAUGCAAAAGUAAAUUUAACCUUAAACAACAAAUAGUGAUUGGAAAAAAUUGAAAACAACUCUAGUACAUCAAUUGCUUUCAUUGCAAGGAUCUUGUCCCUGGGAUCUUCUGUAUGAUGUCUACAUGCCCAUAAGUUGGAUCUCCAUAAUUUGAUGGUGAAGUCCUACAAAUGAUUUCCUUGUGAUCAAUUCAUCAGAUGGUUGCUUUUAGGGCAACUCGAUCAAUCGUCUGAGAACUUCAAGCACAUGAUAAAUGUCAAAAAGUAUUAGAUUAAAUAUUUAUGAAGGAAUGGAUCAACAUAGUGACUCAUCUUAAUAUCGGUAAUUAAAAGUGUCAAGCUUAUCUUCCAUGACCAAAUCCUGUCGCUGUCCAAGGUUAGCUCAGUGACAACUAGUUCUAUGCCUGUUGCUCUAAUUGUCAAUGAUUAGCUUUCUUGAUUAAUGGAUCUUCAAUCAAAAGAAUUGUGGAUUAUUGAUCAUCAAUUUUUUCAUCAUCUUUAUCAUCAACUUCAUAUGUAGACAUGGAGGGUCUUUGAUUAUUUAUUCAUCCAAGUUUCCUCUAUCUUCUGCCUCCUUGCAUCUAGAAGGGAAUUUAGAACUUGGAGAAAUAAACCCUCUCUUGAGAUAGUUGAUACUCAAGAAUCUCAUCAAACCUCGUGGAUAUAUGUUGAUCAUGGAGAAAUAAACCCUCUCUUGAGAUAGUUGAUACUCAAGAAUCUCAUCAAACCUAGUGGAUAUAUGUUGAUCAUGCUCUUCCUAUUGUCGACAUAACUCUUCGUGUCAUUGCAAUCUCUUGUCAUGUUUUGCAUUAUUCACCAUCUUGUAGUUAUUGAAGAAGCCCUCAUACGAUCGAUCUCCUGCUUUAAUACUAAAUUUAUGUAGCCUCACUGAAAUUUGAAGGCUAUAUGUAAAAUUUGCAGCAACUUCUGAUUCAAACAGAAUUAUCUGAUCUAUUUAUUGAUUACUGAACUGAUCAAAAGCAGUCAGCUUCAGAGCUGAUCUUUGAUAUGCUGUCUCGAGAAUAACGGCAGGUGGAACUGAUCCAGAUCUUGACUUGGGUCUAAAAACAGCAGUAGAUCUGCUGGAUUUAAAUGCAGCAGUAGGAGAAAGUAGAGAAGAAUAGAAAGAAAAGAGAAAGUAGAGAAAGGAUGACCUGUGGCCUCUAAUUUCUUUCAAAAUAAUCAUGUACGAUCUCAAAAUCACCACUACAGCUGGCCACUUCUCCCUUUUAAUAAACCUAACCAACCACCAAUACUACUACAACUAGGACUUGUUAAUUGGAACUAAACCUAAAUUAAAUAGCCAACUAAACCAUUGAAUUUUUUUUUUUCCUUGACUAGCUAGUUGACAAUUAGGUUCAUAUUAGGACUCUUUAAUCUAGACAUAAACUCAAGUAAUAAAGACAUUAAAAUACCCGAAUAAGCCCUGAUGACUUUUCACAGUACUGUAGUGUGGACAGAAAAUAAGGAUAAAAAAAAAAUACUGAAAACCACUCUAAUACAUCACCCUUCUCCUCUUUGUUUCCAUGCCUACCUUCGUGCUUGGCUUUGCAAAUUGUUGCAUCUCAUGUGUGCCACAUGUGUCGUCUGAUAGGUGCUAACAUGUAGAAUGCAUUGACAUGGCAUGUUCAAUUUGGACUCUUGUGUUCAGGUAACACUGAGCUUAUCUGCCUUUUUAGUUGAGAAAAACUUACCAUGAUAAUUUGUCUUCCAAUUAGCCUUGAAGAAAAGCUGUAGUUUUAUAUAUCAGGAUACUCAUGCUAGAACAUAAAUGGCAGUUAUAACUCAGAAUAACCUUGUUGCAUGGGCCUUAUCAUAGGUGAGAACAAUUCACUAAAUUAAAUUCCACAUUUUCAUACAUUUCUGCUCGCCACAUUUUCACUCAAUUAAAUUCCAGAUUUUGCUUUUGAAUAUAUUCUUGGCAUGUCUCUAAGUUUGCUGGCAGUGGCCCGUGCCUUAUGUCUUCCAUUCUUCUAAAUUCCAUUAUGAUGUAACUUGUAAGUUACUCUUAACUUUUCCCUUCUAAACCUUGAAGGUUUGUUAACUUUCAUUUCUGCACAAUCUUGGAAUCCUGAGGUAAACCCUAUCCAAGCCCUAGAAACAAAGAAAUUUCAGUCAAUGGUUUAUUCAGAAUGGGAACUUAAACCAUCCAACACUAGUGGUUUCUUCUACCAUAAUCUCAGAAGGACGUUUCACUUUCAUGGUAGGAUUCAUAUAAUUGUUCAAGAAAAAGCAAUAUUUUUUUUAAAAGUAAAGAAAUAGCAUUUUUCUCUUGACUCUCUUAAGGUAGCCAAG
RNAcentral lists this long non-coding RNA (3427 nucleotides) under Elaeis guineensis (African oil palm). RNAcentral describes it as "long non-coding RNA (EGUI_LNC019059)". Lineage: Eukaryota; Viridiplantae; Streptophyta; Magnoliopsida; Arecales; Arecaceae. The record is from RNAcentral.